GAGAACCUAGUAAAACAUGUAUUACGUGGCUUUGUCGUGGCCAAAUCACAACCAUUUGUGGCUCUCA
This 67-nucleotide transfer RNA is filed under the name Opisthotropis latouchii. RNAcentral describes it as "tRNA-Asp". The record is from RNAcentral. Lineage: Eukaryota; Metazoa; Chordata; Lepidosauria; Squamata; Natricidae.